CGGAAAUGUGCCUGAACAAAGGAUUACUUUGAUAGAGUAAAAAACAGGGGUUUAAGCCCCCUCAUUUCCUACUAGAAAG
This 79-nucleotide transfer RNA is filed under the name Trachylepis binotata (Ovambo tree skink). Its description in RNAcentral is "tRNA-Ile". The stretch from base 2 to 70 matches the Rfam family "tRNA". Rfam says of the family: Transfer RNA (tRNA) molecules are approximately 80 nucleotides in length. Their secondary structure includes four short double-helical elements and three loops (D, anti-codon, and T loops). The record is from RNAcentral. Lineage: Eukaryota; Metazoa; Chordata; Lepidosauria; Squamata; Scincidae.